GAUCAUGGCUCAGGAUGAACGCUAGCGACAGGCUAACACAUGCAAGUCGAGGGGCAGCAUAAAAGUAGCAAUACUUGGUGGCGACCGGCGCACGGGUGAGUAACGCGUAUGCAACCUACCUAUCAGAGGGGAAUAACCCGGCGAAAGUCGGACUAAUACCGCAUAAAACAGGGGCACCGCAUGGUGAUAUUUGUUAAAGAAAUUCGCUGAUAGAUGGGCAUGCGUUCCAUUAGGUAGUUGGUGAGGUAACGGCUCACCAAGCCGACGAUGGAUAGGGGAACUGAGAGGUUGGUCCCCCACACUGGUACUGAGACACGGACCAGACUCCUACGGGAGGCAGCAGUGAGGAAUAUUGGUCAAUGGGCGAGAGCCUGAACCAGCCAAGUCGCGUGAAGGAAGAAGGAUCUAUGGUUCGUAAACUUCUUUUGCAGGGGAAUAAAGUGCAGGACGUGUCCUGUUUUGUAUGUACCCUGAGAAUAAGGAUCGGCUAACUCCGUGCCAGCAGCCGC
Molecule: ribosomal RNA, 509 nt
Filed under: uncultured bacterium
Lineage: Bacteria
Description: bacterial SSU rRNA
Rfam family: Bacterial small subunit ribosomal RNA
Source: RNAcentral